UUCCAAUAAGCGGAGGAAAAGAAACCAACAGGGAUUGCCUUAGUAACGGCGAGUGAAGCGGCAAAAGCUCAAAUUUGAAAUCUGGCACUUUCAGUGUCCGAGUUGUAAUUUGAAGAAGGUAACUCUGGAGUUGGCCCUUGUCUAUGUUCCUUGGAACAGGACGUCACAGAGGGUGAGAAUCCCGUGCGAUGGGGUGUCCAAUUCUAUGUAGAGUGCUUUCGAAGAGUCGAGUUGUUUGGGAAUGCAGCUCUAAGUGGGUGGUAAAUUCCAUCUAAAGCUAAAUAUUGGCGAGAGACCGAUAGCGAACAAGUACAGUGAUGGAAAGAUGAAAAGAACUUUGAAAAGAGAGUGAAAAAGUACGUGAAAUUGUUGAAAGGGAAGGGCUUGAGAUCAGACUCGGUAUUUUGCGAUCCUAUCCUUCGUGGAGAGGUUUCACUUGCAGCUUACCGGGCCAGCAUCGGUUUGGAUGGUAGGAUAAUGACAUUGGAAUGUGGCUUUUCGGAGUGUUAUAGCCUUUGUUGAUACUGCCUAUCUAGACCGAGGACUGCGUCUUUGA
This 556-nucleotide ribosomal RNA is filed under the name Kurtzmaniella natalensis. Its description in RNAcentral is "partial large subunit ribosomal RNA". It matches the Rfam family "Eukaryotic large subunit ribosomal RNA", at positions 41 to 594 of the family's 3401-position model. Lineage: Eukaryota; Fungi; Ascomycota; Pichiomycetes; Serinales; Debaryomycetaceae. The record is from RNAcentral.